UACAGAGGGUGCGAGCGUUGUCCGGAAUCACUGGGCGUAAAGGGCGCGUAGGUGGUGGCUUAAGCGUGCGGUGAAAGCUCGGGGCUCAACCCCGAGUCGGCCGUGCGAACUGGGCUCACUGGAGCAUAGUAGAGGCAGGUGGAAUUCCGGGUGUAGCGGUGGAAUGCGUAGAGAUCCGGAGGAACACCAGUGGCGAAGGCGGCCUUCUGGGUCGACCCUGACGCUGAGAGGCGAAAGCGUGGGGAGCGAACGGG
This 254-nucleotide ribosomal RNA is filed under the name uncultured bacterium. Its description in RNAcentral is "partial 16S ribosomal RNA". It matches the Rfam family "Bacterial small subunit ribosomal RNA", at positions 524 to 776 of the family's 1533-position model. The record is from RNAcentral.